GAUGAACGCUAGCGACAGGCUUAACACAUGCAAGUCGAGGGGCAGCACAGGUAGCAAUACCGGGUGGCGACCGGCGCACGGGUGAGUAACGCGUAUGCAACUUACCUAUCAGAGGGGGAUAACCCGGCGAAAGUCGGACUAAUACCGCAUAAAGCAGGGAUCCCGCAUGGGGAUAUUUGCUAAAGAUUCAUCGCUGAUAGAUAGGCAUGCGUUCCAUUAGGCAGUUGGCGGGGUAACGGCCCACCAAACCGACGAUGGAUAGGGGUUCUGAGAGGAAGGUCCCCCACAUUGGUACUGAGACACGGACCAAACUCCUACGGGAGGCAGCAGUGAGGAAUAUUGGUCAAUGGGCGUAAGCCUGAACCAGCCAAGUCGCGUGAGGGAUGAAGGUUCUAUGGAUCGUAAACCUCUUUUAUAAGGGAAUAAAGUUCGGGACGUGUCCCGUUUUGUAUGUACCUUAUGAAUAAGGAUCGGCUAACUCCGUG
This 485-nucleotide ribosomal RNA is filed under the name uncultured bacterium. RNAcentral describes it as "bacterial SSU rRNA". It matches the Rfam family "Bacterial small subunit ribosomal RNA", at positions 28 to 507 of the family's 1533-position model. The record is from RNAcentral.